This 77-nucleotide ribosomal RNA is filed under the name Vibrio scophthalmi. RNAcentral describes it as "partial 16S ribosomal RNA". It matches the Rfam family "Bacterial small subunit ribosomal RNA", at positions 1 to 77 of the family's 1533-position model. Lineage: Bacteria; Pseudomonadati; Pseudomonadota; Gammaproteobacteria; Vibrionales; Vibrionaceae. The record is from RNAcentral.
AAAUUGAAGAGUUUGAUCAUGGCUCAGAUUGAACGCUGGCGGCAGGCCUAACACAUGCAAGUCGAGCGGUAACAGAA